AGGGGAGCAGCUUUCCUCACUGAGGAAGAAAAAUGGAAGCACACAACUCACAGCCAUGGCAGACAUGAUACUGUCAGCAUCUGUGUCCCCACAUAAACAGCUGUCUAUAUGAAACAAGGCAGGAGGCUCAUAUUAAAUAAUGAAGAUAGAAUACAUUAAUUACACCAUGGGAUCACUUACACUAUGGUGAGUUCAGAAGAAGCAAAGGCUCUCCCACAC
This is a long non-coding RNA of Tupaia belangeri chinensis (Chinese tree shrew), 219 nucleotides long. RefSeq lists it as uncharacterized. The transcript has 3 exons. NCBI's taxonomy places the organism in Eukaryota, Metazoa, Chordata, Mammalia, Scandentia, Tupaiidae. The record is from RefSeq and is a predicted model, not a curated record.